UCUUAGCCCUGAUAGAAGUGGAAAUCCUUUUGUGCCGGCGUUCGGCACAAAAGAUUGAAACGGAUAGCAGGAAAUAGC
Non-coding RNA from Flavobacterium hibernum, 78 nucleotides. Lineage: Bacteria; Pseudomonadati; Bacteroidota; Flavobacteriia; Flavobacteriales; Flavobacteriaceae. The record is from Rfam.